CCAGGAACCAGCAUUUUAUGGUGAAAAACAAACAAACAAAAUACAGCUGUGAUAGAAACUGGAAUCCUUGUGCUCAGUGACAAAUUCUGAGCAAGGAGAAGAGGAGAAAUUAAUCCUUUUCUUGCAUUCAGGUCUUAGAAGAGCAACUCAUAAUGAAUUAAGAGCCAGGAGUGUCAAACCCUUGCAGUUUCUUACAAUAAACUUGAGAGAAGUAACUAUCACGGAACUGCAAACAUCAAGAUCCCCUUUCUGUCAGCCUUGUACUUUCUCAGACUUGCUGGCUGCAAUCUGGAGUCCUUGGUGAUUCUUGUGAGGAAAUACUGCACCUCCCUAAGGCAUGCUUGCUUUGGUACAAGCUGGAUGGCCACUGGAAAGCAGAACUACAGGAAAAAGCGUGCCUGGCACAGGUGAUGGAGACACAUGUUGAUGGGACAUGUUGAGAUGUUGAUUAGUAACUCUGCUGCAUAAGGACAGCUGAAGAAACUGCAAAUCUUCACUGCUCUGAGAAUCAGAAAAGGUAGCAGUCUGAAUCAAAAGCCCAUUCUGGUUGGUAGGAAGAUGACAAAAGAAAGCAGCAAAGAAUGUCUGCAGCUUUUAUGCCAGAAACAGUCUACAAGUAACUGAAUUUCCAGAAAUGUAAAGCUGCUCCAGAAUAAACUAUAUUUUGUGCUAAGCA
This 676-nucleotide long non-coding RNA is filed under the name Anas platyrhynchos platyrhynchos (common mallard). RNAcentral describes it as "lncRNA (ENSAPLG00000030367.1)". The record is from RNAcentral. Lineage: Eukaryota; Metazoa; Chordata; Aves; Anseriformes; Anatidae.